UAGAACCCUCGGGACUCUUUGCCCCAGCGUCAUCUGCCAGCAAGGCCAGCUGGGUGGGUUUCCUCCUGAGACCAGCUUUCCAGGACACAAUGCCCUGGGCGCUGCCAGCGGGGACUGCCUCUGCCUAGGCCUCCAGGCCCCAGUCACCCAGCUUACCCGCCUCUGAGCCCCCACUUGAGCUGACCUCUGUUCCCUCCCGGGCACAGCGCCUCUGGGAGGCCCUGGAGAUGCCUGAAGGCCUCUGGCCUGCAGUCCCCGGCGGGACCUAGCUCCAACAACAGAGGGGAGGCUCCGCUAUGAGGCAGCAGUGGCCAGCCCUGACCCCGCGGGUGCUCAGGACCUCGCUGGUCUUGUUGGCGCUGCUGGUGCCCUCGCAGGCGGUGGUGCGGGCAGUGCUAGAGGGCAACUCCAGCUCAGUGGACUUUGCGGACAUGCCUGCCCUGUUCGGGGCCCCUCUGUCCCCCCAGGGCGUGCGGGGCUACCUGAUGGAGGCGAAGCCAGCCAACGCCUGUCACCCCAUUGAGGGCCCGCGGCCGGGCAACGGCUCCCUGGGCGCCAUCGUGCUGAUCCGCCGCUAUGACUGCACCUUCGACCUCAAGGUGCUCAACGCCCAGCGGGCCGGCUUCGAGGCGGCCAUCGUGCACAACGUGCGCUCCGACGACCUGGUGCGAAUGGCCCACGUGCACGAGGCCCUGCGGCGCCGCAUCGCCAUCCCCUCGGUGUUUGUGGGCGAGGCCGCCUCGCGGGACCUGCGGGUCAUUUCACGCUGCGACAAGUCGGCCCAAGUCCUCCUGCUGCCCGACUACCCACCCUGCCCCGAGCUGGACUGCCACCCCGUGCUGGCCAUCUCCUGGGUCCUGGGCCGGGCCCUGGCCCUGGUCACCUCCUCCUUCUUCGUCCUGCGCCACCUCUGGAACUGGCUGUGGGCCUGGUGGGCCCGGGGGCUGGUCGCCAAGCCGCAGGCCUGCCAGCGGGCCCAGGUGCGCACCUUCACCCGGCGCAACGACCUGUGCGCCAUCUGCCUGGACGAGUACGAGGAGGGCGACCAGCUCAAGAUCCUGCCCUGCUCCCACACCUACCACUGCAGGUGCAUCGACCCCUGGUUCUCCCAGGCUGUGCGGCGCUCCUGCCCUGUGUGCAAGCAGUCAGUGGCUGCCACAGAGGACGGCUCCGACUCCACGGUGGAAAGCUUCAGUGACGAGGAACCCCCCUUGCCUGGCCACCAGCCCCCCAUCUGGGCCAUCCAAGCCCGGCUGCGCUCCCGCAGGCUGGAGCUGCUCGCCAGAGCCAGCCCGCACCGCCACUGCAGUACCGCAUCUCUGGGCACCGUCGACGAGUCUGUGGAGAGGCCCCUGGAACCGCUCUGAGGCCCACAGCCCCUAGCUGGCCACGAUCUGGGGUCCCUGGAGGAUGUUUGUGUCAAGGACAAACCACAUAAGCAACGGGUUCCCCAGUGGUCUGGACUGUCUAACCCAGAGCCCCUAGGUACCAGCAAAACCAGGGUUCUGCUGCCUCAUGAAGGCGAGAGGAAGAAUGCAGGUGGGGGAACCCACAAACGCCCACCAGGAUGAUCCUCACCUCUAAUGAAAUGGAGGGGACAGUAAGCCGGUGCACUAAGGCGGAAUGAGCAACACCGUCACCCUGGACAAAGUUUUAAGCACUUGGCAGAGCCUCUCUAUCCAGCCAUGCUGUUCUUCCAAUGGGACACAAUCAGCUCCAGGGCCUUUGCACUGGCCAUUCCCUCUGCCUGGAAUGAUCUUCAAGCAAGUGUUUUUCAUUUCUUGUAUCCCCAGCAGCUGGAACAGUUCCCACGAUAGUAGGAGGAAAGCAGUUUCACUGGGGGCCAUGCCAAAAUCUCUGUGCAGUUUUGGCGCUGUGACCCGGACUUUGUGGCUCUGGACAGAGACAUUCCUCUCUGCACCUCCAAUUUCUCAUCUGGAAAAUGGGGUUGACGCUAGCACCACCUUUCAGUAAAUCUCUUAAGAGCUAACCCUUGAGUCUCAAAGAGUUAAGUCCAAUCUGGGGUGGUGACAUUUGCAAUGCAUGAAGUUAAAACAUUUUCAAUAAAGAGAAACAAA
Molecule: RNA transcript, 2078 nt
Organism: Talpa occidentalis (Iberian mole)
Lineage: Eukaryota; Metazoa; Chordata; Mammalia; Eulipotyphla; Talpidae
Gene: ZNRF4
Gene name: zinc and ring finger 4
Exons: 6
Source: RefSeq, a predicted model, not a curated record